UCGUCAAUUUGGUUGUGAAAUGUUGUAUUAAAAAUUCAUAUCACAGCCACUUUGAUGAGC
This 60-nucleotide microRNA precursor is filed under the name Blattella germanica (German cockroach). RNAcentral describes it as "precursor microRNA Mir-13b". It matches the Rfam family "mir-2 microRNA precursor family", at positions 5 to 68 of the family's 72-position model. From Rfam's summary of the family: The miRNAs are transcribed as ~70nt precursors (modelled here) and subsequently processed by the Dicer enzyme to give a ~22nt product. The record is from RNAcentral. Lineage: Eukaryota; Metazoa; Arthropoda; Insecta; Blattodea; Blattellidae.